GUGGAGGAGGACCCGCUGAAGGCUGCCGAACUCCUCGAGAAGGUAAUUGAGGAGAAGAGGAAGGCACCUCGGAAUCUGAUGCUAAUUUAGAAACAUUUUUUAAUU
This 105-nucleotide small RNA is filed under the name Archaeoglobus fulgidus. The record is from RNAcentral. Lineage: Archaea; Methanobacteriati; Methanobacteriota; Archaeoglobi; Archaeoglobales; Archaeoglobaceae.